RNAcentral lists this small RNA (93 nucleotides) under Paenibacillus sp. P22. Its description in RNAcentral is "Termite-leu RNA". The record is from RNAcentral. Lineage: Bacteria; Bacillati; Bacillota; Bacilli; Caryophanales; Paenibacillaceae.
ACGAGCCGCCUUGUCUGUUGACAGGGCGGUUUUUGCCAUGAUAAAGUUCGAUUAUCAAACUAUUUCAACAUCGAACUUGUACAAGAAAGGAGG